Eriocheir sinensis (Chinese mitten crab) is the source of this 2048-nucleotide long non-coding RNA. RefSeq lists it as uncharacterized. NCBI's taxonomy places the organism in Eukaryota, Metazoa, Arthropoda, Malacostraca, Decapoda, Varunidae. The transcript has 2 exons. The record is from RefSeq and is a predicted model, not a curated record.
CCUUGACAUCAGUUCCAGCGAUACCACAAGCUAUUCCUUCCUUUGACAUCAGUUCCAGUAAUAUCACAAGCUCUCCCUUCCUUGGACAUUCCCUUGAGGUCAGUUCCAACACUAUCAUAAGCUCUCCCUUCCUCGGCCAUUCCCUUGAGGUCAGUUCCAACAAUAUCGCAAGCUCUCCCUUCCUCAGCCAUUCCCUUGAGGUCAGUUCCAGUGAUACAGAAUAAACAAAGGAAACGAGAGAUAAAAAGAAGUCAAUUAGGAAGAAAUCAAAACGAAAAAAAAAAAAAAAAAAAAAAAAUUGGUGUGCUUAAGGAGCUGAUAAUUCACAUCCUGACACGAUAUAAUCACCCUCAUAUUCUUAUUCACAUCCUUAACAUCAUUUCUGUGCUUGCUCCGAGACACUGUGAGGUAAAAAAAAAAAAAUAAAUAAAAAAAAAAUAAAUAAAUAAAAAAAAAAUAAAAAAAUCGUCACCCUAAAUAAAUAAUUGCCUAAGUCACUUUCCAACAAUUUCCAGGUUUUUGUCAUCAACUUUCAAACAUGUGACGCCCAUUUUUUUAUAUAGUUGCCAUCGUCAUUCAGGGUUUGAGUGUUCUAGAAUUGGCCUUUUCAUUUCUACCUAAAUAAUAAUAAUAAUAAUAAUAAUAAUAAUAGUUGUAACAGUAAUCAGUCUUGUAUUGGCAGGGCUGGGUUACAUAAAUACAGUUACAUAAAUAGGUAUGAAAUUGUAAGAAAAAUUUAUGUUAGUUUUCUUCAGCAUUUGUUAAUAUAGCCAAACGUGUUCUUUUCUGAUUUCCUGACAAGUAGAAAAUAACGACCUAGGUGGUUUGUUUACGUAGGUGACGAUAUAUAGUUCCACCGCUGUCUAAGGGUUGACGUAUUUAUGGACCUGGAUUAGCGGACUUCCUAUUUUCCGACUACCUGAUAACAAAGGAUUUUCACGGCACCGACAAAAUGAGGCGACAAAUUGAAACGAAGACACAACAGCAGAAAGGAACCAAGUAUCAUCGUUUCUGCGGCACGUAACAUGACACACUCGAGACAUUACGAAAAGAAUGAUAAUAAAUAAAUAAAUAAAUAAAUACAGAAAAAGUUAGCCGAUGAGAGAGCUGAUAAGGAACAUUUGAGGAGUGGACCACCAAUAAUAAUAAUAACAACAACUUGAUAAUGGCAGUAGAAUCCGAGAGCCCGCCUGCCUUGACGCACACACACACACACACACACACACACACAUACACAAAAUACUACUGGCAUGUGUGAGAAAACUGAUUAACAAAAGUCUUGCUGUAUAAACUCUCUCUCUCUCUCUCUCUCUCUCUCUCUCUCUCUCUCUCUCUCUCUCUUGCUAUUAUAUAAAAAAACUCUAUAUACAAACAAACAGAUAUGGUUUUUCUGUCCAUAUCCAAUCACUAAAUUAUAUAAGAAAAUUACUAGUUAUCUUUCUCUUUGUUUCUCUCUCUCUCUCUAGGAAGGACUGACCUGCUACACCUUAUAUAUAACCUUUAAACCCAUCUUGCAAUCUCUUCCUUGUUGUAAAUUUCAACCAACUCUUUACAAGCUUCUUUAUCCAUUGUUUCAGUACCCUCUAACCUAACCUAACCUGUCCGAGCCUUUUCCUUCAUUCCUUACCCCCUGCUAACCUAACCUUUCCCAGCCAUUCCCUUCAUUCCUUACCCACUCUUAACCUACCCUAACCUUUCCUUUCAUCCCUUACCCCCUCCUAACCUAACCUAACCUUUCCCGGCCCUUCCCUUCACCCCUUAGACACUCCUAGUCUAACCCAACCUCCUUUCUUUUUCUCCAACUCCUUUUACUACCAAUACAAAUAGCUUUAUCCACAUCUAACCUAACAUAACUUGACCCUACCCUUCCCUUAGUCCCCAACUCUUUCUACUGACAAUAAAAACCCUUACUUAACUUAACCUAACUUGACCCUACCCUUCCCUUAGUCCCCAGCUCUUUCUACCGACAAUAAAAACCCUUACUUAACUUAACCUAACCUGACCCUACCCUUCCCUUAAUCCCCAACUCUUUCUACUGACAAUAAAAA